GGAAGACUGGAGUGCAGAAGAGGAGAGUGGAAUUCCUCGUGUAGCGGUGAACUUCGUAGAUAGGUGUAGGAACUCGAGUGACGAGGGCGACUCUCUGGUCUGUAACGGUCGCUGAGGCGCGAAGGCGAGGGGAGCAAACAGGAUUAUAUUCCCUGGUAGUCCACGCCGUAAACGAUGAGUGCUAAGUGUUAGGGGGUUUYCGCCCCUUAGUGCUGCAGCUAACGCAUUAAGCACUCCGCCUGGGGAGUACGACCGCAAGGUUGAAACUCAAAGGAAUUGACGGGGGCMCGCACAAGCGGUGGAGCAUGUGGUUUAAUUCGAAGCAACGCGAAGAACCUUACCAGGUCUUGACAUCCUUUGACCACUCUGGAGACAGAGCUUUCCCUUCGGGGACAAAGUGACAGGUGGUGCAUGGUUGUCGUCAGCUCGUGUCGUGAGAUGUUGGGUUAAGUCCCGCAACGAGCGCAACCCUUGAUUUUAGUUGCCAGCAUUUAGUUGGGCACUCUAAAGUGACUGCCGGUGCAAGCCGGAGGAAGGUGGGGAUGACGUCAAAUCAUCAUGCCCCUUAUGACCUGGGCUACACACGUGCUACAAUGGAUAGUACAAAGGGUCGCGAAGCCGCGAGGUGGAGCUAAUCCCAUAAAACUAUUCUCAGUUCG
Molecule: ribosomal RNA, 659 nt
Filed under: Listeria monocytogenes
Lineage: Bacteria; Bacillati; Bacillota; Bacilli; Caryophanales; Listeriaceae
Description: bacterial SSU rRNA
Source: RNAcentral